CACAAGGGCGGCAGGGCAGAGCUCGGACGUCGGGGGGCCCGACUCCAGCUGUAAAACCGCGCCUGCCGGAACAGCGAGAAGUGCCACCUGCGGGGCCUUCCGCGGCAGCGUUAGCUUGCAGGGCACCGUACUGACAGGAGUUCCGCCCUGUCUGCCCACGCGGCCUAGGCCUCCUUUCGCCGCCGGCCUGCUGCUCAGCUGCCGGGUCUCCGGCUGUUCCCGCCCCUGUCCUCGCCAAUGGGGUUGCUGCAGAAGGGCAGCGGCAUCAGAAUUCUCAGAGACAACCACGGCUCAGAAACCAGCAGCAAGCCCCCCACACGUCCCCCUAAUUCUUACUACUAUACAACUUCUAUCGAACUGUCCAUACAUGAGGCAAGCAUGGGAGGGACCUUGCUUUGUCCAUGUAACACUUUGUAACACAAACAAGAUAUUAUGUAACCAGUUGGUUCCCAUCUGUUACUAUCUGCUAUUGAUUCAGAGAUCAAAAGGGAAUAUUAAUAUUUAGAUGAAACUUGGAUGCAAUAUCAUCAUUGAAGUUUGUAGUAAACGGUCUAUGAACUAAUUAAUGGAUAAUUACCUUAUUCUGAUGAAUGCAACUAUUAUCUGUGUAUACAUAGGAAACAGAGGUUUUACUUCAAAGCCACAAUGCUCUUCACCCAAGGAAUGCCUGCUGUCAAAAGACUAUCAAUGUUUUGCCAUAGAUCUAUAAAAGAACUCUUAAGGCCCUGAUUCUGUUCUCAGAUCUGCUUAAACUUGGUUGGUGGAAGCUGGAGUCACAAGACUGAGGUCUCCAGUGCCAGUCUGGAUUACCCUGCUGCUUCUCAUGGAAGAAUUUAUACAGAUUCUGCAUAUGGACUUGCCUAUUGGAUUAUAACCUAGGGAACUGAUUCUGAAAGAAUUUGGCAACUCAGCAGCUCACCAUCGCUAAUGUGAAACUAAGAACUUUAUACAUAUAUAUAUAUGAAUAAUGAUCUUUUAACCACAAUACUCUCUCUUUUUAAAUAAAUCUUAGUUUAAUUAAGAA
Molecule: long non-coding RNA, 1024 nt
Organism: Gopherus flavomarginatus (Mexican gopher tortoise)
Lineage: Eukaryota; Metazoa; Chordata; Testudines; Testudinidae
Exons: 2
Source: RefSeq, a predicted model, not a curated record